GUCGCUUUAGCUCACUUGGGAGAGCGCCAGACUGAAGUUCACUUCAAGUCGACGCUACUGUGCGGUAUCUGGAGGUACUGUGUUCGAUCCACAGAAGCGACA
RNAcentral lists this transfer RNA (102 nucleotides) under Dothistroma septosporum NZE10. Its description in RNAcentral is "tRNA-Phe for anticodon GAA". It matches the Rfam family "tRNA". From Rfam's summary of the family: Transfer RNA (tRNA) molecules are approximately 80 nucleotides in length. Their secondary structure includes four short double-helical elements and three loops (D, anti-codon, and T loops). The record is from RNAcentral. Lineage: Eukaryota; Fungi; Ascomycota; Dothideomycetes; Mycosphaerellales; Mycosphaerellaceae.